GGGAAGGUGGCUCAGUGGUAGAGCGCUUGCCUUGCAUGCCUGAAGCCCUGGGUUCGAUUCCUCAGCUAUCACA
This is a non-coding RNA of Dipodomys ordii (Ord's kangaroo rat), 73 nucleotides long. NCBI's taxonomy places the organism in Eukaryota, Metazoa, Chordata, Mammalia, Rodentia, Heteromyidae. The record is from Rfam.